This 467-nucleotide ribosomal RNA is filed under the name uncultured bacterium. Its description in RNAcentral is "bacterial SSU rRNA". It matches the Rfam family "Bacterial small subunit ribosomal RNA", at positions 34 to 518 of the family's 1533-position model. The record is from RNAcentral.
CGCUGGCGGCGUGCUUAACACAUGCAAGUCGAGCGGAGAAUAUAGCAAUAUAUUCUUAGCGGCGGACGGGUGAGUAACGCGUGGGUAACCUGCCUUUUUACAGGGGGAUAACACUAGGAAACUAGUGCUAAUACCGCAUAAAAUAGUGAAGUGGCAUCACUUUACUAUCAAAGGAGCAAUCCGGUAAAAGAUGGACCCGCGUCCGAUUAGCUAGUUGGAGGGGUAACGGCCCACCAAGGCGACGAUCGGUAGCCGAACUGAGAGGUUGAUCGGCCACAUUGGGACUGAGACACGGCCCAGACUCCUACGGGAGGCGGCAGUGGGGAAUAUUGCGCCAAUGGGGGAAACCCUGACGCAGCAACGCCGCGUGAAGGAUGAAGGUUUUCGGAUUGUAAACUUCUUUGAUUGGGGACGAUAAUGACGGUACCCAAAAAACAAGCCACGGCUAACUACGUGCCAGCCGCCGC